Non-coding RNA from Paramuricea clavata, 475 nucleotides. The record is from the annotation of a GenBank genome assembly. Lineage: Eukaryota; Metazoa; Cnidaria; Anthozoa; Malacalcyonacea; Plexauridae.
AAACGUUUUUUCGAAGCUAGAAAUCAUGAUUUUUUUCAAAUUUUUCCAGGGAUACUUUGUUUUCAGCUCUCUAGACUCCCACUCGCUGCUCUAGUCCUCCACCCCUAGAAUAUAGACCCCCCCCAGGAAAAGUCCCUUUUCCUUAAAAUUAUACAAACAAACCAGCGAAGAUUAACAAAUACAUAAACGGAAAGUAAGUUUUAGGCUUCAUCCCUUGUCCUUGUUUAACAAAAUCGAUUUAAAUUGUUACUUUUUUCUAAAUUAUUGUUAAUAAUUUUUUUUAUUUUUUGGAUGCUCAGAAUGCAGGAAAUAGCAUUUCCGGGUUUCAAAUUUCAAAAAUUUUCUGGGGAUUAUCCCUCUAAUAAGCCGAUAAAUUACAGUUAAUAUUCUUUUUUACUUUUUGCGCAUUUUUUCCAUCUUUUACUUCAAAUACAAGUAUAGUUAGCAUAAAUUUUAGAGCAAAUUUGGAUGCUCA